RNAcentral lists this ribosomal RNA (400 nucleotides) under uncultured bacterium. RNAcentral's name for it is "bacterial SSU rRNA". It matches the Rfam family "Bacterial small subunit ribosomal RNA", at positions 355 to 772 of the family's 1533-position model. The record is from RNAcentral.
UGGGGAAUUUUGCACAAUGGACGAAAGUCUGAUGCAGCAACGCCGCGUGAAGGAUGACGGCCUUCGGGUUGUAAACUUCUUUUUUUGGGGACGAUUGUGACGGUACCCAACGAAUAAGCAUCGGCUAACUACGUGCCAGCAGCCGCGGUAAGACGUAGGAUGCAAGCGUUGUCCGGAUUUAUUGGGCGUAAAGAGCUCGUAGGUGGUUUAUGAAGUCUUUUUUGAAAGCCCGUGGCUCAACUACGGAAACAAAAAAGAUACUCAUAAGCUUGAGGGUAGCAGGGGUGAAUGGAAUUCUCGGUGUAGGGGUGAAAUCCGUUGAUAUCGAGAAGAACACCAGUGGCGAAGGCGGUUCACUAGGCUACAUCUGACACUGAGGAGCGAAAGCGUGGGGAGCGAA